GAAAGUAGGAAAGGGCGCAUGGCGGAUGCCUUGGCUCUCGGAGGCGAUGAAGGACGUGAUAAGCUGCGAUAAGUCACGGGGAGGUGCAAAUAACCCUUGAUCCGUGAAUCUCCGAAUGGGACAACCCGUUACCUUGAAGAGGUAACAUCCAUCAAUGAUGGAGGCUAACGCAGGGAACUGAAACAUCUUAGUACCUGCAGGAAAAGAAAAUAACAAUGAUUCCCCCAGUAGUGGCGAGCGAACGGGGAAGAGCCCAAACCAUUCAUGUUACGGCAUGGAUGGGGUUGUAGGACCACGGCGUUGCAAGAACUCUUGUGAGAAGAACAGCCUGGAAAGACUGACCACAGACGGUGACAGUCCGGUAUUCGAAGCAAGACGAAGCAUAGUGGUAUCCUGAGUAGCGCGGAACACGAGGAAUUCUGCGUGAAUCUGCCGGGACCAUCCGGUAAGGCUAAAUACUCCCGAGAGACCGAUAGUGGACCAGUACCGUGAGGGAAAGGUGAAAAGCACUUCGAACAGAAGAGUGAAAGAGUACCUGAAACCGUGCGCCUACAAGCGGUCGGAGCACGAAAGUGUGACGGCGUGCCUUUUGCAUAAUGAACCUACGAGUUACCGUAUCUGGCAAGGUUAAGGGUCACGAGACCUGCAGCCGAAGCGAAAGCGAGUCUGAAGAGGGCGUCGAGUCAGUUGCGGUAGACGCGAAACCAAGUGAUCUACCCUUGGCCAGGAUGAAGUCUGGGUAACACCAGAUGGAGGUCCGCACCAAUAAGCGUUGAAAAGCUUCUGGAUGAGCUGAGGGUAGGGGUGAAAGGCUAAUCAAACUUGGAGAUAGCUCGUACUCCCCGAAAUGCAUUUAGGUGCAGCCUCGCGGGUUACUGAUGUGAGGUAGAGCGACUGAUUGGAUGCGAGGGCUUCACCGCCUAUCAAGUCCUGACAAACUCCGAAUGCGCAUCAGUUUUACCGCGGGAGUGAGGGCAUGGGUGCUAAGGUCCGUGCCCGAGAGGAGAAGAAUCCGGACUAUCAGCUAAGGCCCCGAAAUGACAGCUAAGUUAAACUAACGAAGUCUGAUUGCUAAGACAGCUAGGAUGUUGGCUUGGAAGCAGCCAUUCAUUUAAAGAGUGCGUAACAGCUCACUAGUCGAGGAAUCGGGCGUGGAUAAUAAUCGGGUAUUAAGUUGUCUGCCGAAGCUAUAGAAUCAGCAAUGAUUGGUAGGGGAGCAUUCCAUUCUGCGUUGAAGGCGUGGCGUGAGCCAUUCUGGAGCGUAUGGAAAAGCAAAUGUAGGUAUAAGUAACGAUAAAGGGGGUGAGAAACCCCCUCGCCGAAAGACUAAGGUUUCCUGAUCAACGCUAAUCGGAUCAGGGUAAGUCGGGUCCUAAGGUUCAGCCGAACGGCGAGACCGAUGGCAGAAACGGUUAAUAUUCCGUUACUACCUUUGAGGGUGACGUGGGGACGCAGGAGUGACACCGCCGCCGGCUGACGGAAUAGCCGGUUAAAGAGUGUAGACGUUGAUUUCCGCAGGCAAAUCCACGGAAAGAGUCGAACUUGACAGUAUGGAACGUCCUUCGGGACAAUCCAAUAGUGCGGGUAAGCAGACUGCCGAGAAAAUCCGCUAAACAUAACUUCAGAGGUACCCGUACCGCAAACGGACACACGUAGUCGGGUUGAAUAUACUAAGGCGCUUGAGUGAAUCACGGUUAAGGAACUAGGCAAACUGACCCUGUAACUUCGGGAUAAAGGGUCCCUACCCAGAAAUGGGAGGGCGCAGAGAAUAGGUCCAGGCAACUGUUUAACAAAAACACAGGGCUGUGCCAAUAUGAAAGUAGACGUAUACAGCCUGACACCUGCCCGGUGCUGGAAGGUUAAGAGGAGAUGUCAUCGCAAGAGAAGCAUUGAAUUGAAGCCCCAGUAAACGGCGGCCGUAACUAUAACGGUCCUAAGGUAGCGAAAUUCCUUGUCGGGUAAGUUC
RNAcentral lists this ribosomal RNA (1966 nucleotides) under human gut metagenome. RNAcentral describes it as "bacterial LSU rRNA". It matches the Rfam family "Bacterial large subunit ribosomal RNA", at positions 1 to 1983 of the family's 2925-position model. The record is from RNAcentral.